UCUCUCCUCUUGGUACACAGCGGUUUGUCCCUACCACGUGCUCCACAUGGGCACAGAGACCUUUAGGAAGCCUUUGCUGCUCAUGCUGGCAGUCCCCCGGUGCUGGGGCACAUUCAUCUAUGCUCACCCUCCCGUCCUCCUCCUCGAGCUGCAGCACGUGGUCCAUUCUCACAUGAGCAGAACAACAAGACAGCCAGGUGGAGACCCAGAAGCCACGCACCAAGACUUCACUCUUGAGAUCUCAAUGUGGGAUCCAGGUCCUAACAACUGAAACCUUAGAGCAUUCCGAAAAUGAAUAAAAAGGCAACAUACUCAAUUAAAACAAAAGCAAAACCCCAUGAAUUGGUAUUGUUUCAUUUAUGGACCACUUGCAAUCCAAAUAAAUUUUUGUAAUCAAAUUGCUUGAUUUAAACAAUCCUGAUAUCUUCUUUUAAAAAGCUUUCAUUUUCUCACUCCUGUCAACCUGUGCCCCUGCUGUUCUCUCUGGGCUACACUCUUCCAACCCAGAGAAGAUUGACUUGCUUCUGAGAUGGCACAUCUUAUGUCAUAUUUAAUUAUUUAGGUAGUUUUCCCAUUUACUAGGACACCAUAUUCUAAAGGGCAGAGUCCCUGACUCCCAUAACCUGUAGCACCAGUGCUAGCCCAAGGCAUGGCCCAGUUGUUGAGUGAAUACUGAAACUAAUAGAAGGGAAGAAGGGAGGCUCUGUAGAGAAUAAACACAUAAUUAAUGUGAUAACAUAGGGGAUAAUCUAGGAGGUGCAUCUAAGUGUACUGUGCCUUAUCAAGCAUUUUUGAGCACACUUGGCUUGUACUGCUAACAUUCUAAAGGGAGGAGGCAGUAUUUGCUCUGAUACUCAUGGUGCCUUGAAGUGGGAUUAGAAAAAACAAGAGGGCAGGCAGCUAGUAGAUCCUUUCGCAUUCUCUUCCCAUCAUCAACACCUAACAUGACAGCUGUAGGGAAGGUACACAGAUGGAAUUUAAGCUCCUCCCACAUUUCACCUUCCAGUGUAUGAACGGUUAUCAUAUCUUGAGAGACUCAAUUUGGUAAAUCACGACUGCAAGAAUCUCUCAAAAUAGCCACAGAUAUUUGCACAGUGCCUACACAUACACCAUUUUAUCCUCGAAACCUCUCUGGAAGGUUGGAAGGGCAUGUUUUGUUAUUAUUCUAAUCUCCAUUUUACAAAUGAAGAAACAUGCUUGGAGAUAUAAACAUGCUGAAAAACAUACAGCAAAGAAGUGCAAAGUCAAGAUCUGAACUUGAGUCUCUCAGACUCCAGAUCUAUUUACUACCUACUGGUGGUUAAAAGAUAGUAAAGAGAAAUACGAAUCUUCAUCCACAUGACUAACUUUGUGUUCAUUUUUAAGUGUGCUUGGUUCUUUGGCCAAUGGAUAUUUGUAACCAUGUGAGCCUUUCUCAGGUCUUUCUCUUCCUCUUGUAUCGGACAAAGAAUGUUCAUUUCAUAUAUCAUUGAUAGCUAGUCGGCUACAGCAGUUCCACCAAGGUAAUGUAAGUCAUUAAUAAGGCCAAAAAUGUAUUUUGAGAUGCAAGAAGGAAGUUAUUAAUGCUGAAUUUUAUACUUUUUGGCUUCUGAAGAAAUUAAAAGAACAGAGUGUUGUAAUGGACUGAGUAGUAUCCCACAAAAGUAUGUGUCCAAGUCCUAAGACCAAGUCUAUCAAUGUGAUCUUGUU
Molecule: long non-coding RNA, 1689 nt
Organism: Papio anubis (olive baboon)
Lineage: Eukaryota; Metazoa; Chordata; Mammalia; Primates; Cercopithecidae
Source: Ensembl